RNAcentral lists this ribosomal RNA (236 nucleotides) under uncultured bacterium. RNAcentral describes it as "partial 16S ribosomal RNA". It matches the Rfam family "Bacterial small subunit ribosomal RNA", at positions 15 to 244 of the family's 1533-position model. The record is from RNAcentral.
GAUCAUGGCUCAGGAUGAACGCUAGCUACAGGCUUAACACAUGCAAGUCGAGGGGCAGCAUGAACUUAGCUUGCUAAGUUUGAUGGCGACCGGCGCACGGGUGAGUAACGCGUAUCCAACCUACCCUUGUCCAUCGGAUAACCCGUCGAAAGGCGGCCUAACACGAUAUGCGGUUCACCGCAGGCAUCUAACGUGAACGAAAUGUGAAGGAGAAGGAUGGGGAUGCGUCUGAUUAG